GGGUGUGUGUGUAAAUCCUAUAAAAAUCUUCUUUGAAAUCCAUCUAUACCACCACAUUUUGACAAUCAAAGUUUCACUUAUGUGAUUUCAUCACUAUUCUAGUUGAAUGUUACUUUUUUGUUGUAGGUUGCCUAUUUUAAAGUUAUGUUUUAUUAUCACAUUUUUGUAUUGCACUAGAUUGUUAUAAGAUGUACAUUUUUUGUUUCUUCAGCUUGUAAACCGCCUUGAGUAUUGUAAGAUAGAAAGACGGUAUACAAAUUAAAAAUGAAGAUGAUGAUGAUCUUUGAAGAAUACAGCAUGUCAAGAGUAUAUAAUGAUGACCUGCCUCCCAGCUAGACACACAAGAAGAAGAAGAAGAGUUUGGAUUUGAUAUCCCGCUUUAUCACUACCCAAAGGAGUCUCAAAGAGGCUAACAUUCUCCUUUCCCUUCCUCCCCCACAACAAACACUCUGUGAGGUGAGUGGGGCUGAGAAACUUCAAAGAAGUGUGACUAGCCCAAGGUCACCCAGCAGCUGCAUGUGGAGGAGCAGAGACGUGAACCCGGUUCCCCAGAUUAUGAGUCUAUCGCUCUUAACCACUACACCACACUGGCUCUCAUAGCAUGGAGCCCAAAAGGUUUAACAAACUACACUUUUCAGAUUGUUCAACUGGCAACUGUUGGUUGGCAGGUAAAUAGGGCAACAUUGAUAAUGGAAUAAAGUACCAAAUAUUUAACAUUCCUAGCUGGGGUGCAGCCUUAUCAAAGUGACAAAACUAUAUCAUGCACGAUGAGGAAAUUCUCUGGACUAACAUCAACAAGCAGAAGUCUGUAAUACCUUCAGUGUAUUGCUCCCAUUAUAUAUGAUUCUGUAUUUAGGCCGUUCCACCAUGAUGCCAUAGAAUUUGUUUCAGAAGACCUGUCAACAUGGGUAUGAUACGAUUCAAUAGCAGAUAGUGUGGUUAGGCAGUGAUGCUCACCUGAUCUCCCAUUAUCUGUUGCUGCUGCUUACCAGGAAUGAGGGUAGGAACACUCAACAGAUUGGCUCUGAUGGUACAUUUGCAUGGCACCAGGCUCUUCACUGUCACACCCUCUAUCCAGCAGCAGCAAAUCAGCAGAAGGCUAGAUGAGCACCAACACCCAACAGUACGCUACUGAUGUUAUUAAGUCAUACCCUUCUAUGUUAAUAUAUAGAUAUAGUUGUGUCUCUUAGCCUAUCAUGUUUUUAAACAAUUGGUUUUAUUGAGACUCCCUAUUUUCUGUUUGGAACUUUGCAUAUUGUCUUACUCAUCUGUUGACUGUAAUAAACACCUGACUAACUUUUGUGUGGUAAAUGUGGCAUUUUUUGCAGCUACGGCUUGUAAAUCAUCAUCUUAGAAAAUAUAAAACCUAGAUUUUGUCUUUCCGAUGGACACAGGGCUGGUGGAGGUAUUUUUCAGCUUCAAAUGUGACAGCCUAUAUAACAAGGCUGGAUGUAGACUAAAAGGGAAGAAAAAUCUGAAUAAUAGUCAGACUUUGCCAGAAAGUCAGUUUUGAUCUCAAAAAGCAUGUUCUGUACUGGAGGGAUUAACUAAAGAUAACUGAGAAAAAAGAAUCCUCCUGCAUUUUUCAGGUAAGAAAUGCUAGUUGCUUUAACUCAUUUUUUUAAAAAAAAUAAUAGCUAAUUAUCUGCUCAAUAAGCCCUAAGGAAAGACAAUUACAGUUGAUCAUACUGUCAAUGACUGUAUGGACAAAGGGCAGAGAAAUCAAUCCACACAGUAUCAUCAGUACAGACAGCUUCAGUGUCUGGAACAACAUGGACCCCAAAAACUGUCCCAAGUAUAUCAUUCUGUCAAGAUUUGCAAUCAAUUUUAAUCAAUGUUUACAUCUAUUUCUUUUAACAGAUUUCCAAGUACACCAACAAGUUGAGAUGGGUGUCAACCAAAAAAACACAAAAGAGUAGGUUUGUUCAUUCAUUCAUAUUUUAAUUAGAGGACAUGAAACAAAAGAAAAGAUUAUUGUGACUAUAUGGUUAAAUUCAGUUCUAAUGCUAAACCAUGGUCUCCUUCUGGGCCCCCGUGUUCCCUCUCCCCUUCCCUCCUGAACAGAAAGAGUUCAGAAGCCUUUGCCCCCCUUUCAACAUGGCUUAUCACUUCAUCUGAACCAGGAAUCAUAGUUUGACGCUAACCAUGGUUAGUUUCAACAAACCAGCUCCACAACCCAUGAUCUGACGUUGGCUUAUUUUGAAUUUCUUUUCUAACCAAAUCAUGUUUAACCGCAAUCCCUGAUUCAGAUGAAAUGACUAGUGGAAGAACCUGGGAGAUGGCCAGGCUUAUUCACAUUGCACAAAGCCAUAGUUUACCGUCCCUUUCAAACAUUACCCUUCUGUGGCCUGAAUCAUGUGUAAAAGUAAAAUUUUACUAAUUAUGAAUUUUAAGUCCAUUACAUGGUAUGAGCAUAUUUUUUAACUCCAGGAUGCCUCUCUCCCAGAAAAUGCAAGGCAGAGUCAAAUUUCAAAUUACUUCCCAGGGAGUAGGGGCUUCCCGAAUUGAAGUGACAUCACUCCACAACUUUACUACAAAACUAACAACAACAACAAAUAGCAUGUAAAAUCAGUAUGACUGAGAAAAAGAAGAGAGCACAAUACCUAUACUUACACUUGCACAAUUUGCAGCACUGGCCUGUUAAAUGGACCGGAAGGCGGUCUGGCGAACAGUUCAAUGGUGGGCAGGCCAUUCGCCGGCACUCCACUACUCCACUCUGUAAAAUAAUAGAAAAAUAGGAUUAAAACACCUGUAUACAGAAGGGUUAGCCAACAUGGUGCUCUCUAGAUGUUGUGGACUACAACUCCCCUCAUCUUUGGCAAUUGACCACGCUGGCUAGAGCUGAUGGGAGCUAGAAGUUUGAAAAGCUCUGCAGGGUACCACAUUGGCUAUCUUUGGUAUAAAGUAAUGUAUAUUUUAGGGGGCGGGAAACAUUCUGAACUUGUGGAAAAAAUAAUUAGCUUAGAUAUGAAUAUUUGGAUAAGCUAUACUGCAACUACAAUUUCACCAUUCUGAAGCAACCAUAAUCAUAUCCAGCUGCUACCUAUGUGAACAUCUAUUAAAUUUCAGAUAUAAAUUAUUUCCCUUAUUCCACCAAUCACUAAGUGGGUUAGACAAUAGAAGCCAUCUACCCAUUUUUAAAAAUACAAAAUAACACCUUCACAGUCUCUGUCAAUCAUCUUCAUUUUAACAAACAGUUUUCUAUUUUCUUGGGCAAACAAAACCUCUCUUCUGAUAGUUAUCAAAUAAUUUCAACAGUACAAGAUUUACAUACUAAUCAACUUUUGUUCCUCUGAUGUUGAAAAUAAUAAAUACCACGAGCACAAUAUACAUGUUGUUGUCAUGCAAAAUGCAACUCGUGCAAACAAUUAAGAUAACGUCUCAUUUCCCACAAACUUCAGUAAUACAAUUCUAAAUUGUACACAGG
Molecule: long non-coding RNA, 3427 nt
Filed under: Podarcis lilfordi (Lilford's wall lizard)
Lineage: Eukaryota; Metazoa; Chordata; Lepidosauria; Squamata; Lacertidae
Source: RNAcentral